GAUGAACGCUGGCGGCGUGCCUAAUACAUGCAAGUCGAGCGAACAGACGAGGAGCUUGCUCCUCUGACGUUAGCGGCUGACGGGUGAGUAACACGUGGAUAACCUACCUCUAAUACUGGGAUAACUUCGGGAAACCGGAGCUAAUACCGGAUCAUAUAUUGAACCGCAUGGUUCAAUAGUUAAAGACGGUUUUGCUGUCACUUAUAGAUGGUUCCGCGCCGCAUUAGCUAGUUGGUAAGGUAACGGCUUACCAAGGCAACGAUGCGUAGCCGACCUGAGAGGGUGAUCGGCCACACUGGAACUGAGACACGGUCCAGACUCCUACGGGAGGCAGCAGUAGGGAAUCUUCCGCAAUGGGCGAAAGCCUGACGGAGCAACGCCGCGUGAGUGAUGAAGGUCUUCGGAUCGUAAAACUCUGUUAUUAGGGAAGAACAAAUGUGUAAGUAACUAUGCACGUCUUGACGGUACCUAAUCAGAAAGCCACGGCUAACUACGUG
This 497-nucleotide ribosomal RNA is filed under the name uncultured bacterium. Its description in RNAcentral is "partial 16S ribosomal RNA". It matches the Rfam family "Bacterial small subunit ribosomal RNA", at positions 28 to 507 of the family's 1533-position model. The record is from RNAcentral.